Molecule: microRNA precursor, 125 nt
Filed under: Marmota monax (woodchuck)
Lineage: Eukaryota; Metazoa; Chordata; Mammalia; Rodentia; Sciuridae
Source: RNAcentral
GCACUCCCUUCUCCAGGGGAGCUAAAAGCCCCUGCAAGCCUGGGGGAGCUAAAAGCCCCUGCAACCAUGGUCUAGGGCACUCCCCAGGCUUGCAGGGGCUUUUAGCUCCCCUGGAGAAGGGAGUG